RNAcentral lists this ribosomal RNA (1470 nucleotides) under metagenome. Its description in RNAcentral is "bacterial SSU rRNA". It matches the Rfam family "Bacterial small subunit ribosomal RNA". The record is from RNAcentral.
AGAGUUUGAUCAUGGCUCAGGACGAACGCUGGCGGCACGCUUAACACAUGCAAGUCGAACGAGAGAAGAGGAGCUUGCUUUUCUGAUCUAGUGGCGGACGGGUGAGUAACACGUGAGCAAUCUGCCUUUCAGAGGGGGAUACCGAUUGGAAACGAUCGUUAAUACCGCAUAACAUAAUUGAACCGCAUGAUUUGAUUAUCAAAGAUUUAUCGCUGAAAGAUGAGCUCGCGUCUGAUUAGCUAGUUGGUAAGGUAACGGCUUACCAAGGCGACGAUCAGUAGCCGGACUGAGAGGUUGAUCGGCCACAUUGGGACUGAGACACGGCCCAGACUCCUACGGGAGGCAGCAGUGGGGAAUAUUGCACAAUGGAGGAAACUCUGAUGCAGCGAUGCCGCGUGAGGGAAGAAGGUUUUAGGAUUGUAAACCUCUGUCUUCAGGGACGAAAAAAGACGGUACCUGAGGAGGAAGCUCCGGCUAACUACGUGCCAGCAGCCGCGGUAAUACGUAGGGAGCGAGCGUUGUCCGGAAUUACUGGGUGUAAAGGGAGCGUAGGCGGGAUCGCAAGUCAGAUGUGAAAACUAUGGGCUUAACCCAUAAACUGCAUUUGAAACUGUGGUUCUUGAGUGAAGUAGAGGUAAGCGGAAUUCCUAGUGUAGCGGUGAAAUGCGUAGAUAUUAGGAGGAACAUCAGUGGCGAAGGCGGCUUACUGGGCUUUAACUGACGCUGAGGCUCGAAAGCGUGGGGAGCAAACAGGAUUAGAUACCCUGGUAGUCCACGCCGUAAACGAUGAUUACUAGGUGUGGGGGGACUGACCCCUUCCGUGCCGCAGCAAACGCAAUAAGUAAUCCACCUGGGGAGUACGACCGCAAGGUUGAAACUCAAAGGAAUUGACGGGGGCCCGCACAAGCAGUGGAGUAUGUGGAUUAAUUCGAAGCAACGCGAAGAACCUUACCAGGUCUUGACAUCGUAUGCAUAGCUCAGAGAUGAGUGAAAUCUCUUCGGAGACAUAUAGACAGGUGGUGCAUGGUUGUCGUCAGCUCGUGUCGUGAGAUGUUGGGUUAAGUCCCGCAACGAGCGCAACCCUUACUGUUAGUUGCUACGCAAGAGCACUCUAGCAGGACUGCCGUUGACAAAACGGAGGAAGGUGGGGAUGACGUCAAAUCAUCAUGCCCCUUAUGACCUGGGCCUCACACGUACUACAAUGGCUGUCAACAGAGGGAAGCAAAGCCGCGAGGUGGAGCGAACCCCUAAAAGCAGUCUUAGUUCGGAUUGUAGGCUGCAACCCGCCUACAUGAAGUCGGAAUUGCUAGUAAUCGCAGGUCAGCAUGCUGCGGUGAAUACGUUCCCGGGCCUUGUACACACCGCCCGUCACGCCAUGGGAGUCGGUAACACCCGAAGCCUGUAGUCUAACCGCAAGGAGGACGCAGUCGAAGGUGGGAUUGAUGACUGGGGUGAAGUCGUAACAAGGUA